Molecule: long non-coding RNA, 116 nt
Organism: Sinocyclocheilus rhinocerous
Lineage: Eukaryota; Metazoa; Chordata; Actinopteri; Cypriniformes; Cyprinidae
Exons: 3
Source: RefSeq, a predicted model, not a curated record
UGCAAACAAACAUUAGUAAAUGAAGAGAGGCUGUGUGAAGGUGUCAACGGUGGCCCACUUGGGAGUCAGUCUCCUUCCUCGGAUCGGCUGUGCAACUUUAGCAUCUUGCAAUAUGC